Molecule: antisense RNA, 69 nt
Filed under: Amycolatopsis sp. YIM 10
Lineage: Bacteria; Bacillati; Actinomycetota; Actinomycetes; Pseudonocardiales; Pseudonocardiaceae
Description: ASpks TB sRNA
Rfam family: ASpks TB sRNA
Source: Rfam by way of RNAcentral
CUUGACCGAGCCCAGCCACAACGGCUCGUCCCGCUCCUGCCCGUACGCGGUCAGCAGCGCCUGCACCUC